This 859-nucleotide ribosomal RNA is filed under the name Pontibacter sp. RNAcentral's name for it is "bacterial SSU rRNA". It matches the Rfam family "Bacterial small subunit ribosomal RNA", at positions 42 to 902 of the family's 1533-position model. Lineage: Bacteria; Pseudomonadati; Bacteroidota; Cytophagia; Cytophagales; Hymenobacteraceae. The record is from RNAcentral.
GCAGGCCUAAUACAUGCAAGUCGAACGGACUGGAGACCUUCGGGUUUCCAGUUAGUGGCGCACGGGUGCGUAACGCGUAUGCAACCUACCUUCUAUUGGGGGAUAGCCCACCGAAAGGUGGAUUAAUACCGCAUAACACCAUGACAUGGCAUCAUGUUACGGUUAAAGUUUCGGCGAUAGAAGAUGGGCAUGCGUGCCAUUAGCUAGUUGGCGGGGUAAAGGCCCACCAAGGCGACGAUGGCUAGGGGUUCUGAGAGGAUGGUCCCCCACACUGGUACUGAGACACGGACCAGACUCCUACGGGAGGCAGCAGUAGGGAAUAUUGGGCAAUGGGCGAGAGCCUGACCCAGCCAUGCCGCGUGCAGGAAGAAGGCCUUCUGGGUUGUAAACUGCUUUUACCAGGGAAGAAAACGCUCCUGCGGGAGUAACUGACGGUACCUGGUGAAUAAGCACCGGCUAACUCCGUGCCAGCAGCCGCGGUAAUACGGAGGGUGCAAGCGUUGUCCGGAUUUAUUGGGUUUAAAGGGUGCGUAGGCGGCCCGUUAAGUCAGCGGUGAAAUCCCAGGGCUCAACCCUGGAACUGCCGUUGAUACUGGCGGGCUUGAGUUCGGUCGAGGCGGGCGGAACUGGUGGUGUAGCGGUGAAAUGCUUAGAUACCACCAAGAACCCCGAUUGCGUAGGCAGCUCGCUUGGCCGAAACUGACGCUGAGGCACGAAAGCGUGGGGAGCGAACAGGAUUAGAUACCCUGGUAGUCCACGCCGUAAACGAUGAUGACUCGAUGUUGGCGAUACACUGUCAGCGUCCAAGCGAAAGCGUUAAGUCAUCCACCUGGGGAGUACGCCCGCAAGGGUGAAACUC